Molecule: ribosomal RNA, 253 nt
Filed under: uncultured bacterium
Lineage: Bacteria
Description: partial 16S ribosomal RNA
Rfam family: Bacterial small subunit ribosomal RNA
Source: RNAcentral
UACGUAGGGUGCGAGCGUUGUCCGGAUUUACUGGGCGUAAAGAGCGCGCAGGCGGUCGUUCAAGUCGCGUGUGAAAGCCCCCGGCUCAACUGGGGAGGGUCACGCGAUACUGAUCGACUGGAAGGCAGGAGAGGGUAGUGGAAUUCCCGGUGUAGUGGUGAAAUGCGCAGAUAUCAGGAAGAACACCCGUGGCGAAAGCGGCUCUCUGGAACGGUACUGACGCUGAGACGCGAAAGCGUGGGGAGCGAACAGG